RNAcentral lists this ribosomal RNA (585 nucleotides) under uncultured bacterium. RNAcentral's name for it is "bacterial SSU rRNA". It matches the Rfam family "Bacterial small subunit ribosomal RNA", at positions 338 to 916 of the family's 1533-position model. The record is from RNAcentral.
CCUACGGGAGGCAGCAGUGGGGAAUUUUGGACAAUGGGCGCAAGCCUGAUCCAGCAAUGCCGCGUGAGUGAAGAAGGCCUUCGGGUUGUAAAGCUCUUUUGUCAGGGAAGAAACGGUGCGGGCUAAUAUCCCGUGCUAAUGACGGUACCUGAAGAAUAAGCACCGGCUAACUACGUGCCAGCAGCCGCGGUAAUACGUAGGGUGCAAGCGUUAAUCGGAAUUACUGGGCGUAAAGCGUGCGCAGGCGGUUUUGUAAGUCUGACGUGAAAUCCCCGGGCUCAACCUGGGAAUUGCGUUGGAGACUGCAAGGCUAGAAUCUGGCAGAGGGGGGUAGAAUUCCACGUGUAGCAGUGAAAUGCGUAGAGAUGUGGAGGAACACCGAUGGCGAAGGCAGCCCCCUGGGUCAAGAUUGACGCUCAUGCACGAAAGCGUGGGGAGCAAACAGGAUUAGAUACCCUGGUAGUCCACGCCCUAAACGAUGUCUACUAGUUGUCGGGUUUUAAUUAACUUGGUAACGCAGCUAACGCGUGAAGUAGACCGCCUGGGGAGUACGGUCGCAAGAUUAAAACUUAAAGGAAUUGACGG